Molecule: ribosomal RNA, 253 nt
Filed under: uncultured bacterium
Lineage: Bacteria
Description: partial 16S ribosomal RNA
Rfam family: Bacterial small subunit ribosomal RNA
Source: RNAcentral
UACGUAGGGUCCGAGCGCUGUCCGGAAUUAUUGGGCGUAAAGGGCUCGUAGGCGGUCCGUCACGUCGGGAGUGAAAACUCAGGGCUCAACCCUGAGCGUGCUUCCGAUACGGGCGGACUAGAGGUAUGCAGGGGAGAACGGAAUUCCUGGUGUAGCGGUGGAAUGCGCAGAUAUCAGGAGGAACACCGGUGGCGAAGGCGGUUCUCUGGGCAUUACCUGACGCUGAGGAGCGAAAGCAUGGGGAGCGAACAGG